AGCAGUAGCCGCGGUAAUACAGAGGGUGCGAGCGUUAUUCGGAUUUACUGGGCGUAAAGCGUGCGUAGGCGGCUUCUUAAGUCGGAUGUGAAAUCCCUGAGCUUAACUUAGGAAUUGCAUUCGAUACUGGGAAGCUAGAGUAUGGGAGAGGAUGGUAGAAUUCCAGGUGUAGCGGUGAAAUGCGUAGAGAUCUGGAGGAAUACCGAUGGCGAAGGCAGCCAUCUGGCCUAAUACUGACGCUGAGGUACGAAAGCAUGGGGAGCAAACAGGAUUAGAUACCCGAGUAGUCCCUGUCUCUUAUAC
RNAcentral lists this ribosomal RNA (303 nucleotides) under uncultured bacterium. RNAcentral's name for it is "partial 16S ribosomal RNA". It matches the Rfam family "Bacterial small subunit ribosomal RNA", at positions 507 to 807 of the family's 1533-position model. The record is from RNAcentral.